UUGAAUCUUUGAUACAUAUUUGUUGAGGAGCUUGUCAGAUCACUACCUUUCACUGAACAGUAAAACAUGGAUCAUUUAUUUCACCUCAUUUUGCACUUCAAUGCAAUUUCACUCUUUAGGUGGUUGUACUUGGACAGUUAAAUGAAGACUGUCUUUAAGGGUGCAGGGAUGGAGAACACAGCAUAUAUGAGAGGUGGGAGGGCAGAGACGCCUUGCGAUUCCUGUGAGGAGGGACUUACCGUCUCCUCCAAAACAGAAAUUCAGUGCUGCAGAGACGGUAGCAAAGUGCAGUUCUCUUGUUAAAACACAGGCUAAAAGCAGUGACUGCUUAACUUAUUAAGCAGAGAAAACCAAAAUGUCAUUUUCAACCAAAAUUGAGUGUUAGAGUUUAUGGUCUCUGUUAUGAUACUUUUCAAGACCUGGGAAAUAUUUGUAUCCUUUAGUGAAAAGGGGAAGAAUCAAUUACUGAAAGCCAUAAGCUUACAGUAACGGAGCCAAUUAAUCCUUUGUCAUCUUUGUUGAGUUUAGUUUUCUUCUGUUCUUAGCACGUCAGCUAGUAGAUCUUUGAUGAACUGUUGCUCCUCUUUAAAUGUUUCUUUUAUUAUAUUGAUGAUGUGCACUCAUUCAGUAUUCUUAUUUUAAGCUGCAGUAAUCACUGUACAUUUGAUUGCCAUCUGUACUUCCCUUGAAGCAGCUUUGCUUAUUACAGCCACACCUGCAUCUGUUUUGACUAGCCCACAUAACCUACACAUUUUUCAUCCAAAGCUAUCCCAUUACCUUAUUUAUGUCCAUUUAUUUUCAUAUAUAGUAUCUGCCAAAAUAGUAGCAAAAGUUUUAUCAAUGUGUAGAUUUCAAUCAGAAAAACCUAAGCAAAAGGAAAAAAAAGUGAUAUUCUAAAAGCCACACUUCUUUUAUCACCAGUGCAGUUUUUUCCAUCAUCAUAAACUUAGUUUUAUGAAAAUGUUAAUAUCUUGGAUUUAAACAUUGGGGUAGAAAUCAGGACAAAAUUUAAAUGUCAUAUCCAGGACUUAAUCUCAGAUAUUCUGGUAGAAGAUAUUUAGAUAAGGUUGUGGCUGCCUGUCAAGUUUUUUAAUUUUUUAAAUUAUAUAAUGUCAGAAAAUUAAAUCACAAAUGAGCCUUCCAGAUUGUGAGGAAAAUUACUUGGCUGAAAAUGACUUUGCAUAAUGCCCAAAUCUUGAAGUAUCUGCUCAGAUGUUUGUUCCAUCUGAAAUGCUGCCAAAUCCAUCUGUAUUGAGGAAAGAGCUAUGAGGUAGUUUCAGAGAAAGUGAAAACAAAACAAAGCAAAACAAAAAUGCUAUUACAGAAGUUGGACAGCCCAAUGUGUUAAGUAUUAUACACCUGGAACAAGAGCAGCAAAACUGAAGCUCUUUGGAAAGUUAUGGCAACAGUGGUCUGGGAAUUCUGGGCCUUUAGAAAUAAUCAUUCCCAGUGAUACAGGGAUGUGCAGCAUCCAGACACUGCUUAAUCACAGUGAGCUGCCGUCUUCCCUGAAUAAGUUGUAUCUUAUAACAUUGAAGUGAAUGAAAAUGUAUUAGUAUUUGAGAAUUUACUAUUCCUUCACCUCCUUGCACAUGUAAAUUAAAGAUGUUUUGGAAAAUAUGAGAACUUGAUGUUCACUGCCCUAGAGCACUAUUCUCCAACCUUUUAGAUUCCUGCAAUCUGUUAAUAAAAUAUUGUAGGACAACAACUCUAUAGACUGAUACAUGCUGCUCUCAAUCCAUAUACUACAUAUUAGGACAGCUUUUCUUUUCUAAAUGAGCAUGAAUAUAAAUAGAAAUUCUAGUAUUUUCUUCACCUACCCCAGUGAAUCAUCUUUAUAUUUUACUUGGGAAACUGCUACAGUUGGCUAGUGGGUCUUCACUUUUAUUGCUUUGAGAAAUGGAUAAAAGACAUAGACUAUCACCCCUCCAAAAAUGUGCAUAUGGCCCCAUACAAGACACAUGUACUGCCAGAGCUUGGGGAACUCCCUAGAAUCUACUCCUAGACCACCCUAGUGAAGUACCAUAGACCAUAUUGUCUAGAUGGGACAAAAUAAUAAAUUUUGACUAAGAACUUACUGUUUAGAGAGAAAAAAUAGUAAAUAAUGUUCAAAAUGAGAAGACAAUAACUGACAAGUCUGUGAUUUUUGGGUUAGAUGAGACCACUUUUGAUUUUUGAGGAAUAAAAGGAGUUAGUUUUUUGGUCCUGAUGUGUAAAAUGAUUCAUGGGGUUUCACAUACAGACAAGUAGUUUUCUUUUCAGCAAAUAUUUAACAUAUCUCUCAAUAUAUUUUUCACCAGUUUUUGGUAAAUAUGCAUUGCUAUAGGUAUACCAAGUUUUUUUUGUUAUGUUUAGUAACUAAUUUCAUUUUUUCUGUAUAUGUAAAUAUAGCUAUUGGACCCUGCAUUGAAAACCUUCUUAGUACUAACAACACUCCUUUUAUUAUUACCUUCAUAGUUACUUUAAAUGACAUAUUUAUUUCGAGUUUUACUUCUGGCUGAGUUGCAAAGUCUAUGAGAAUGUUACCUCCUGUCUCAGAAGCUUGUUAGUUAUUGUGCCACCUAAAUAUUGUAAUAAAAGUGUUUAAAUAAAAAUCUUCUUAAAAUUUAAAAUGA
Long non-coding RNA from Homo sapiens (human), 2615 nucleotides. The record is from Ensembl. Lineage: Eukaryota; Metazoa; Chordata; Mammalia; Primates; Hominidae.